CGAACGGUAACAUUUCUAGCUUGCUAGAAGAUGACGAGUGGCGGACGGGUGAGUAAUGCUUGGGAACUUGCCUUUGCGAGGGAGAUAACAGUUGGAAACGACUGCUAAUACCGCAUAAUGUCUACGGACCAAACGGGGCUUAGGCUCCGGCGCAAAGAGAGGCCCAAGUGAGAUUAGCUAGUUGGUAAGGUAACGGCUUACCAAGGCGACGAUCUCUAGCUGUUCUGAGAGGAAGAUCAGCCACACUGGGACUGAGACACGGCCCAGACUCCUACGGGAGGCAGCAGUGGGGAAUAUUGCACAAUGGGGGGAACCCUGAUGCAGCCAUGCCGCGUGUGUGAAGAAGGCCUUCGGGUUGUAAAGCACUUUCAGUUGUGAGGAAAAGUUAGUAGUUAAUACCUGCUAGCCGUGACGUUAACAACAGAAGAAGCACCGGCUAACUCCGUGCCAGCAGCCGCGGUAAUAUGGAGGGUGCGAGCGUUAAUCGGAAUUACUGGGCGUAAAGCGCACGCAGGCGGUUUGUUAAGCUAGAUGUGAAAGCCCCGGGCUCAACCUGGGAUGGUCAUUUAGAACUGGCAGACUAGAGUCUUGGAGAGGGGAGUGGAAUUCCAGGUGUAGCGGUGAAAUGCGUAGAUAUCUGGAGGAACAUCAGUGGCGAAGGCGACUCCCUGGCCAAAGACUGACGCUCAUGUGCGAAAGUGUGGGUAGCGAACAGGAUUCGAUACCCUGGUAGUCCACACCGUAAACGCUGUCUACUAGCUGUGUGUGUCUUUAAGACGUGCGUAGCGAAGCUAACGCGCUAAGUAGACCGCCUGGGGAGUANGGNCGCAAGGUUAAAA
This 839-nucleotide ribosomal RNA is filed under the name uncultured bacterium. RNAcentral's name for it is "bacterial SSU rRNA". It matches the Rfam family "Bacterial small subunit ribosomal RNA", at positions 63 to 899 of the family's 1533-position model. The record is from RNAcentral.